GAACUUUGAAGAGAGAGUUCAAGAGUACGUGAAACCGUUCAGGGGUAAACCUGAGAAACCCAAAAGAUCGAAUGGGGAGAUUCAUCGUCAGCGUGGUUGGCUUCCGUGCGGUUCGCGAUGGCCGGGACCUCGGUCUCGCGUCACNCGUCCGCUGCGGUAUGUCCGGCUGCGUCGGCGUGCACUUCUCCCCUAGUAAGACGUCGCGACCCGUUGGGUGUCGGACCGAUGGCCGUUUGGUCGCCUGUCUCGUCGCGUUCACGCGUGCACGUGGCAGACCGAAAUGGUCGAGCGUCCGGCUGCCCGGAGGUAUAGAACGCUUAUCAACGGUAAUGAGCCGCAUUAAGUGCRUUCAGGCUCGUCGGCAGGCUCGUCUCGCCCGGAUUUAYGGACCUAGCGCCGUUGCCGGGUGCUUGGCGUGGCCYUUA
Molecule: ribosomal RNA, 425 nt
Filed under: Emersonella sp. MPAC-1
Lineage: Eukaryota; Metazoa; Arthropoda; Insecta; Hymenoptera; Eulophidae
Description: eukaryotic LSU rRNA
Source: RNAcentral